UGGAAAGUUUCACUUCAUCUUGACAAUAUCCUCAGGCCUCAUCUCUACAAACAACCAAACUUUGUUAGAAGCAUGAAAGAAAAAAAUAUGAAAAGUGGAUGACUAUAGUACUCACCUUGGGGUCAGCCUGAUUGAGUCCAGUGUUAAAAAGGACUUUAUCGGAUAACAACUCAUCGACUGAGGGAGCUUUGAAGUCUGAG
This 200-nucleotide long non-coding RNA is filed under the name Elaeis guineensis (African oil palm). Its description in RNAcentral is "long non-coding RNA (EGUI_LNC009977)". The record is from RNAcentral. Lineage: Eukaryota; Viridiplantae; Streptophyta; Magnoliopsida; Arecales; Arecaceae.